Molecule: long non-coding RNA, 408 nt
Filed under: Papio anubis (olive baboon)
Lineage: Eukaryota; Metazoa; Chordata; Mammalia; Primates; Cercopithecidae
Description: lncRNA (ENSPANG00000044779.1)
Source: RNAcentral
UCAAUUUUGCAAUUUUUCUUCUCUGUGCUUGACCUCUGAAUUGGGAUUUGUGUUGAGGUAAAGAAUUAUAAUAACCUGCAGAGUCUCCCUUAAAUCCGAUACCUCCUCUUUCUCUUUCUCUCUCAGAAUGGAGUACUCCAGAGCAAUGUUCUCCACUUCUCCCACGGCAUCAUGACACCCCUAAAUCUCUCUUCUAAUUAGGAUAUUCUUCUCUGGGCUCUCAGGUCCCUGGAGGUCUCAGGGACAUUGGUGCCAUGUUCAGUGUCUAAAAGUAACACUGAACAAUGCAGUUUACUUACAUCUUUUUCUGUUUGACACAAGACAGUUAUUGGUAAGUAUAAUUAUUAGAUAUAGUUAUUUUCCAUGUUUAAAAUAUGAAAAUAUGCAAUAUAGGUUGGUACUAGGAGG